Molecule: ribosomal RNA, 492 nt
Filed under: uncultured bacterium
Lineage: Bacteria
Description: partial 16S ribosomal RNA
Rfam family: Bacterial small subunit ribosomal RNA
Source: RNAcentral
AGUGAACGCUGGCGGUAGGCCUAACACAUGCAAGUCGAACGGCAGCACAGUAAUUUCUUGCUCUUACGGGUGGCGAGUGGCGGACGUGUGAGGAAUACAUCGGCAUCUACUUUUUCGUGUGGGUUAACGUAGGGAAACUUACGCUAAUACCGCAUACGUCCUACGGGUGAAAGCAUGGGAUCUUCUGACCUUUCGCGAUUGAAUUAGCCGAUGUCGGAUUAGCUUGUUGGCGGGGUAAAGGCCCACCAAGGCGACGAUCCGUAGAUGGUCUGAGAGGAGGAUAAGCGACACGGGAAGGGAGACAGGGACCAGAGACCUACGGGAGGGAGCAGAGGGGAAUAUUGGGCAAUGGGGGGAAGCAUGAUACAGCGAUACCGAGUGGGUGAAGAAGGCGUUGGGGUUGUAAAGACGUUUUGUUGGGAAAGAAAAGCAGCAGGUUAAUACGAAGCGGUAGUGACGGUAACGAAAGAAUAAGCACCGGCUAACUACGUG